Molecule: ribosomal RNA, 185 nt
Filed under: uncultured bacterium
Lineage: Bacteria
Description: partial 16S ribosomal RNA
Rfam family: Bacterial small subunit ribosomal RNA
Source: RNAcentral
UAAGACGAACCGUGCGAACGUUAUUCGGAAUCACUGGGCUUAAAGCGCGUGUAGGCGGGUCGGUGCGUCGGCCGCUGAAAUCCCCCGGCUCAACCGGGGAAGGGGCGCCGAUACGACCGGCCUGGAGCGACGUAGGGGGGACUGGAACUUCCGGUGGAGCGGUGAAAUGCGUUGAGAUCGGAAGG